AUCUUUCUAGUAUUAACUAGUAUAUGUGACUUCCAAUCACUCGGUCUUGGUUAAAGUCCAAGGAAAGAUA
This 70-nucleotide transfer RNA is filed under the name Sphoeroides pachygaster (blunthead puffer). RNAcentral describes it as "tRNA-Gly". It matches the Rfam family "tRNA". Rfam says of the family: Transfer RNA (tRNA) molecules are approximately 80 nucleotides in length. Their secondary structure includes four short double-helical elements and three loops (D, anti-codon, and T loops). The record is from RNAcentral. Lineage: Eukaryota; Metazoa; Chordata; Actinopteri; Tetraodontiformes; Tetraodontidae.